This 467-nucleotide ribosomal RNA is filed under the name uncultured bacterium. RNAcentral's name for it is "partial 16S ribosomal RNA". It matches the Rfam family "Bacterial small subunit ribosomal RNA", at positions 28 to 507 of the family's 1533-position model. The record is from RNAcentral.
GACGAACGCUGGCGGCGUGCUUAACACAUGCAAGUCGAACGGAAAGGCCUCUUUCGGGGGGUACUCGAGUGGCGAACGGGUGAGUAACACGUGAGUAACCUGCCCUUGACUUUGGGAUAACUUCAGGAAACUGGGGCUAAUACCGGAUAGGAGCUCCUGCUGCAUGGCGGGGGUUGGAAAGUUUCGGCGGUUGGGGAUGGACUCGCGGCUUAUCAGCUUGUUGGUGGGGUAGUGGCUUACCAAGGCUUUGACGGGUAGCCGGCCUGAGAGGGUGACCGGCCACAUUGGGACUGAGAUACGGCCCAGACUCCUACGGGAGGCAGCAGUGGGGAAGAUUGCACAAUGGGUGGAAGCCUGAUGCAGCAACGCCGUGUGCGGGAUGACGGCCUUCGGGUUGUAAACCGCUUUCGCUCAUGACGAAGCUUUGUGUGACGGUAGUGGGUAAAGAAGCACCGGCUAACUACGUG